UGGCGGACGGGUGAGUAACGCGUGGGUAACCUGCCUCAUACAGGGGGAUAACAGUUAGAAAUGACUGCUAAUACCGCAUAAGACCACAGCACCGCAUGGUGCAGGGGUAAAAACUCCGGUGGUAUGAGAUGGACCCGCGUCUGAUUAGGUAGUUGGUGGGGUAACGGCCUACCAAGCCGACGAUCAGCAGCCGACCUGAGAGGGUGACCGGCCACAUUGGGACUGAGACACGGCCCAA
RNAcentral lists this ribosomal RNA (238 nucleotides) under uncultured bacterium. Its description in RNAcentral is "partial 16S ribosomal RNA". It matches the Rfam family "Bacterial small subunit ribosomal RNA", at positions 96 to 334 of the family's 1533-position model. The record is from RNAcentral.